Molecule: ribosomal RNA, 247 nt
Filed under: uncultured archaeon
Lineage: Archaea
Description: partial 16S ribosomal RNA
Rfam family: Archaeal small subunit ribosomal RNA
Source: RNAcentral
CCGACGGUGAGGGGUGAAAGCUGGGGGCACGAACCGGAUUAGAUACCCGGGUAGUCCCAGCCGUAAACGAUGCUCGCUAGGUGUCUGGGGUGGUGCGACCGUUUCAGGUGCCGCAGGGAAGCCGUGAAGCGAGCCACCUGGGAAGUACGGCCGCAAGGCUGAAACUUAAAGGAAGUGGCGGGGGAGCGCUACAACGGGUGGAGCCUGCGGUUUAAUUGGACUCAACGCCGGAAAACUCACCUGGGGC